CCUACGGGGGGCAGCAGUCUAGAGGCUUCGGCAAUGGACGAAAGUCUGACCGAGCGACGCCGCGUGUGGGAUGAAGGCCUUCGGGUCGUAAACCACUGUCAGAGGGGAAGCGGUACCCUCAGAGGAAGCCCCGGCUAACUCCGUGCCAGCAGCCGCGGUAAUACGGAGGGGGCAAGCGUUAUUCGGAUUUACUGGGCGUAAAGGGUGCGUAGGCGGUCGAGCAAGUCUGAUGUGAAAUCUUACCACUCAACGGGAAGAGGUCAUUGGAAACUGCACGACUUGAGUUUGGUAGAGGCUAGCGGAAUUCCUGGUGUAGCGGUGGAAUGUGUAGAUAUCAGGAAGAACACCUGUGGCGAAGGCGGCUAGCUGGGCCAAACUGACGCUGAGGCACGAAAGCGUGGGGAGCAAACGGGAUUAGAUACCCUUGUAGUC
RNAcentral lists this ribosomal RNA (432 nucleotides) under uncultured bacterium. Its description in RNAcentral is "partial 16S ribosomal RNA". It matches the Rfam family "Bacterial small subunit ribosomal RNA", at positions 338 to 795 of the family's 1533-position model. The record is from RNAcentral.